GUUUCGCAGCCGCUCCCGGGCCCACCUGACGCGCCCGCCCGACGAGGAUUUCCAGCAAAUUGAAAAUAUUGGUAUCGAUGAUUUUUCCCAACAGACCUAAAGGAAGAGAUUAGCUGCACUGAAAUUGUGUUACUCAUACCCUCCUUGGAUAGUCUGCAAAUGGGAUAGUGGCUUUGGAAUAAAGACACUCUCAGAGUUCCAGCUGGUUUGUGGGAUAUCGACCACAAGAUGGCGACAAUGUAACAGUGGGAAAUGGCCAGACACAAGAUACUAACACCAGUGCUGUACUUCCUGCAUGUCAAAGACACAUAGAAGAAUUGCCUUCUGUUUCUCCUCUGCUGUUAUUUCGGUCGCCAUAAAGUAGAAAGCUAGUCGCUCUAUGUACAGACUCCAGUCCUCGAUGGAUGAUUCGUAUGGGUUGAUUCUGCUGAGGAGUGACAUGAAUGAUUGACCCUGAUGAAGCAUUGAAUUGAUAAAAGAAAAUCAUUAAGAUGAAACCUUGAAUUAUCUCAAAUUCUGAUGAUCAAACUGAUAUUUUAAGAGUGGAGCUUCUUUCUUUGUUCAGGAGGGAGAUGAAACACCAAAUGGAAGGGAAGGAAACUGACAGCAAGCAGAAGCCCUAGAGUUAAAAGGGCCUGAGGGCCAGAUGACUUCUCAAGUGCCUUGGCCCCGCUGGCUGCUUGACUUCCAUUUGAAGUUAAAAUCUGUGUUUAACAGAUUAAAGGGAGUUACCUUCAUGGAUCCAACAACUGGAUAGAAACCUUGUACAACUGGGCUGAAUUUUCAACCUUGAGGUGGGUAGGGGGAGACAGGAAAAUUCUCGACUUGGCCCAUCCACCUUCGGAGAAAACGCCAGGAAUAAUCAAGCUUAGCUGAGAACAUAGAAAUUCAUCAAACUUUUGAAACACCUGAGCCCCAGGGAAAAUAUUGCUUGAUUGACAACUCUUGCUCUCUGAUCUAUGAUGUCAAUUGCAUGAUGUUUAUUUUCACAGGAUAAAUUUGUUUCAAGUGCUUCCAGUUUCCACUAUUGAUAUGAGGGUGUGGAUGACUGACAUUUUUAUUGAGCUAUAGGAAAAAGAAGUUUUGUU
Carcharodon carcharias (great white shark) is the source of this 1088-nucleotide long non-coding RNA. RefSeq lists it as uncharacterized. NCBI's taxonomy places the organism in Eukaryota, Metazoa, Chordata, Chondrichthyes, Lamniformes, Lamnidae. The transcript is spliced from 7 exons. The record is from RefSeq and is a predicted model, not a curated record.